This 84-nucleotide microRNA precursor is filed under the name Bombyx mori (domestic silkworm). RNAcentral describes it as "mir-2807 microRNA precursor family". It matches the Rfam family "mir-2807 microRNA precursor family". The record is from Rfam by way of RNAcentral. Lineage: Eukaryota; Metazoa; Arthropoda; Insecta; Lepidoptera; Bombycidae.
UAGCGUAAAUUUUGUAUGGAGUUGGAACGUUUGCCUACGUUUGCCGCUAGGGGCGCUGUUCCAACUGCACACAAAAUUGCGUUA